RNAcentral lists this unclassified non-coding RNA (279 nucleotides) under uncultured fungus. RNAcentral describes it as "partial contains small subunit ribosomal RNA, internal transcribed spacer 1, and 5.8S ribosomal RNA". The stretch from base 1 to 73 matches the Rfam family "Eukaryotic small subunit ribosomal RNA", at positions 1759 to 1831 of the family's 1831-position model. The record is from RNAcentral. Lineage: Eukaryota; Fungi.
GCAAACUUGGUCAUUUAGAGGAAGUAAAAGUCGUAACAAGGUCUCCGUUGGUGAACCAGCGGAGGGAUCAUUACCGAGUUAUCACAACUCCAAACCCAUGUGAACUAUACCAUUUGUUGCCUCGGCGGGGCUGUACCUACCCGGUACUUACCCUGUAGCCAGCCCCGCCGGCGGAUUUCAAACUCUUGUUUCUUUGUGGCAAUUCUGAGUACACUAUUGAAAUAAGUCAAAACUUUCAACAACGGAUCUCUUGGUUCUGGCAUCGAUGAAGAACGCAGC